CUGUGUUGUUGUGUGACGCGUGAAUGUCAAUGUCAUUGUCAUUCGUGUUACUCUUACUCGACUGUUUUAGUGAUUGUGGUUGACUUAUUAACGUUUGCACUUUAUCUUACUGAAUACUGAAAAGCUAAAAGUUAUUCCGCCGGCCGCAGCUUCAUCAUGAGAACAAACAGCCGAAUGUGUUGAAGCCACUAGUUUACAGUACGAAGAAGUGAAGGAAAAUGCAGCUCAUAUCAUAAGUUCUGCUGAGAAGGCAAACAUGUCCAAAUCACGACAGGAAACGGAACUGUCGAUUCAGGCAUGGCUAAAAAGGGCGAAGGAAAGGAAGGACGUGAAAUCUACGAAAAAGUUUCAAUAUAAUCAUUUAUGUUAU
Molecule: long non-coding RNA, 370 nt
Organism: Leptinotarsa decemlineata (Colorado potato beetle)
Lineage: Eukaryota; Metazoa; Arthropoda; Insecta; Coleoptera; Chrysomelidae
Source: RefSeq, a predicted model, not a curated record